CCUACGGGAGGCAGCAGUGAGGAAUAUUGGUCAAUGGACGGAAGUCUGAACCAGCCAUGCCGCGUGCAGGAAGACGGCUCUAUGAGUUGUAAACUGCUUUUGUACAAGGGUAAACCUGAAUACGUGUAUACAGCUGAAAGUACUGUACGAAUAAGGAUCGGCUAACUCCGUGCCAGCAGCCGCGGUAAUACGGAGGAACCAAGCGUUAUCCGGCUUUAUUGGGGUGAAAGGGUGCGUAGGCGGAUUGAUAAGUUAGAGGUGAAAUGUCCGAGCUGAACUCGGGAACUGCCUCUAAUACUGUUGGUCUAGAGCGUAGUUGCGGUAGGCGGAAUGUAUGGUGUAGCGGUGAAAUGCUUAGAGAUCAUACAGAACACCGAUUGCGAAGGCAGCUUACCAAUCUAUAUCUGACGUUGAUGCACGAAAGCGUGGGGAGCAAACAGGAUUAGAUACCCUAGUAGUC
Molecule: ribosomal RNA, 460 nt
Filed under: uncultured bacterium
Lineage: Bacteria
Description: partial 16S ribosomal RNA
Rfam family: Bacterial small subunit ribosomal RNA
Source: RNAcentral